AUGAAUGUGUUGAAGGAACUUAGGGCGCAGGUCGAGGAUCUGCCUGCUGAUGUAAUGCCCGUGUUUGAUGAAGGAGGUUGCAGUGCUCCAGCUGACCGUGAGAUGAUUAGUUUUAAAGCCCCGCCACUAUCGAAAACAAAGGGCUCUAGAUCAGAAGAAGGAGAAAGACAUAUCAGCGCACGCGGGCCAAAGAAGUGCACAAGAAGAUGCAGCAAAUGUGGCCUUAUGGACGGUCACAACAAGGCUCAUGCACCAACAAACAACAAAGCAUCGCGACUGGUGGUACCAAAGGAGGCAGGGGGAGGACGGGCAGGGGGAGGGGAAGGGGAAGGGGAACUACAACUCGGCGCCGUUUAA
Molecule: ribosomal RNA, 357 nt
Filed under: Triticum aestivum (bread wheat)
Lineage: Eukaryota; Viridiplantae; Streptophyta; Magnoliopsida; Poales; Poaceae
Description: partial small subunit ribosomal RNA
Source: RNAcentral